UGGGGAAUUUUGCACAAUGGGGGAAACCCUGAUGCAGCGACGCCGCGUGAUUUAGAAGGCCUUCGGGUUGUAAAAAUCUUUUUUACGGGAUGAAAAUGAAAGUACCGUAAGAAUAAGGUCCGGCUAAAUACGUGCCAGCAGCCGCGGUAAUACGUAUGGACCGAGCGUUGUCCGGAAUCAUUGGGCGUAAAGGGUACGUAGGCGGCCUAGUAAGUUAGAAGUGAAAUAAUAUAGCUCAACUAUAUAAAGCUUUUAAAACUGCUAGGCUUGAGAGAUGGAAGGGAAAGUGGAAUUCCUAGUGUAGCGGUGAAAUGCGCAGAUAUUAGGAAGAAUACCGGUGGCGAAGGCGACUUUCUGGUCAUCAUCUGACGCUGAGGUACGAAAGCGUGGGUAGCGAACAGG
RNAcentral lists this ribosomal RNA (402 nucleotides) under bacterium. RNAcentral's name for it is "partial 16S ribosomal RNA". It matches the Rfam family "Bacterial small subunit ribosomal RNA", at positions 355 to 776 of the family's 1533-position model. The record is from RNAcentral.